GUUGAAAGUUGCGUCGUCGCUGUCUCGUUUCCUUUCUUUUGUCGCCUGGCCAAGGGAUUAAAAUGCUCACGGUUAUCAGACUACCACGCAUUGGACGUAAUGGUAAACCCUGACCAAAGUACUAGCAAGAGAAGCUGUGAAGCCGCAGUGGUGAAGACUUGCUGCUGCGUCGCAGUGUCCGUUGUGGUCAUAGUUGUACUCUUUCAAAUAUACCUCAUUCUGGUGACGGCUGGCGACAGCAAAACGACGGUGGACCGUGAAGGAGCAUACGGUGUGGUUAUCUUGGACGGUGACGACGAUGAGAUUGGUUCAGACUUCGAGGACGAUACAACAUUCCCGGUGCCUGUGCAAGAAACAGCAGCGACUGAAGGCGGCGGUCAUAGAACAGCACUAUUCACGACUGAAUAUUCGACGGAUGGGAAUUCCACUGUAUCUCAGAUUAGCGCGCAAGCGUACCGUAAAUUGAACAUAACAGUC
Long non-coding RNA from Ornithodoros turicata, 477 nucleotides. RefSeq lists it as uncharacterized. The transcript has 2 exons. NCBI's taxonomy places the organism in Eukaryota, Metazoa, Arthropoda, Arachnida, Ixodida, Argasidae. The record is from RefSeq and is a predicted model, not a curated record.